This 307-nucleotide ribosomal RNA is filed under the name uncultured bacterium. Its description in RNAcentral is "partial 16S ribosomal RNA". It matches the Rfam family "Bacterial small subunit ribosomal RNA", at positions 506 to 807 of the family's 1533-position model. The record is from RNAcentral.
AGACAGCAGCAGCCACGGGAAUACGGAGGGUGCAAGCGUUAAUCGGAAUUACUGGGCGUAAAGCGCACGCAGGCGGUCUGACAAGUCAGAUGUGAAAUCCCCGGGCUUAACCUGGGAACUGCAUUUGAAACUGUCAGGCUGGAGUCUUGUAGAGGGGGGUGGAAUUCCAGGUGUAGCGGUGAAAUGCGUAGAGAUCUGGAGGAAUACCGGUGGCGAAGGCGGCCCCCUGGACAAAGACUGACGCUCAGGUGCGAAAGCGUGGGGAGCAAACAGGAUUAGAUACCCCGGUAGUCCCUGUCUCUUAUAC